GAACCGUCCAAACGUUUAUUCGGAAUCAUUGGGCUUAAAGGGUGCGUAGGCGGCGUGGUCAGUUGGGUGUGAAAUCCCUCGGCUCAACCUAGGAACUGCGCCCAAUACUGCCACACUCGAGGGAGACAGAGGUAAGCGGAACUGAUGGUGGAGCGGUGAAAUGCGUUGAUAUCGUCAGGAACACCAGUGGCGAAGGCGGCUUACUGGGUCUCUUCUGACGCUGAGGCACGAAAGCUAGGGGAGCGAACGGGGGAUUAGAUACCCCGGUAGUCCUAGCUGUAAACGAUGAGCACUUGAUCGGAGACUCCUCCAUAGGUUUCCGGUCGUAGCGAAAGUGUUAAGUGCUCCGCCUGGGGAGUAUGGUCGCAAGGCUG
RNAcentral lists this ribosomal RNA (374 nucleotides) under uncultured organism. Its description in RNAcentral is "partial 16S ribosomal RNA". It matches the Rfam family "Bacterial small subunit ribosomal RNA", at positions 527 to 896 of the family's 1533-position model. The record is from RNAcentral.